This 4859-nucleotide long non-coding RNA is filed under the name Mus pahari (shrew mouse). RNAcentral describes it as "lncRNA (MGP_PahariEiJ_G0005124.1)". Lineage: Eukaryota; Metazoa; Chordata; Mammalia; Rodentia; Muridae. The record is from RNAcentral.
GCAAGUGCCGUUGACAGAGUGCAGGCGGGAAGCUUCAGUUUGGGUAGAGAUGUAGCAUCAAACAUUCACGGAUGUCCAGGGAGCGCGGGCACACAGGCUGCUGGCCAGAGGUACUAGGAAGGUACAGGCGGGAGCCCGACGAGGACGCACCUUCCCCUGUCUUGGAAAGGCUCACAGCUCUGCUGGACUCUUUAAACCCCGAGGUCAUGUGAAAAGAAGUUUGUCCUGGGUCUGCCUGUCUCUUGUUGGCUGUCCACAAGAUGGAGAAGGCGGAAGCAACCUGAGGCGUCCUCUUUGUCUGUAAGGAUAGAGGGUCCAUUGUGGAAGGGAGAGAUACAGGCACUAUAUAGGCGAGGCCCUACCGGCCUGCAUCUCUUAUCUCCAGAAUUCUUUUACAGAAAAGAAAUAAAUAAAUAAACUUUUAUCUGGCUUAAGCCACUACUGUUUCUGGGCUCUGUUACUAGCUGCCAAAUGCAAAUCUUAACUGAUAGAAAAAGUCCUUGACGGAGUUUGAGCUGGCGGAUGGAUGCUGCCCGUUUGGUAGCUCUGCAGUGGUGGAUCUGUGGGAGUGGAGCGUCCUGGAGAGUAACAGGAGAUAAAGAUGGCUUGGCAGAUGGGGGCAGACAGUGAGAAUACACCUCACAAGGUGUCACGGACUUUCUUUUCCCCCAGGACACCUCUGCUGAAGUACUGUUAUACAGUGGCUAUUUAAACGUCGAUUGAUGGAGUAAUUUGAAGUCUACUCCUGUCAGCUGGCCUCAAAGCUGGGCUAUUUAGAAGAUGGGCACUCUUUGUGCCUAAAAAAAAAGCAGCAGGAGAAGAAUGGAGGGGAAGUGGUAUCAGCAUUACAGGAAAGUCAAGUGACUCCUGCAGGCGUCUCCAAGGAAAGGACUUUUUGUUACACAUGAUGGUCUAAUGAAAACACAUUGAAGUCUAAUGAAGAUAUCCUUUACAGUUGCUACUGUAAAUAAUGUCCCACACAUACAUCCUUCUGUAGCUUAGAGGAGGAAUACUACAUAUUUCUAAUUUAUUAUUUUCAUAAUAACUUCAUCAUUGUAAAGUUAGGCAAGACUUUCCCAUUUUACGUUAGAAGGACAUUUACUGUUUAUAUAUGGAUUAUAAAAAUAUGACCAGAUUCUGGUUCUAGCUCAUUCUGUGAUCCAAGUACUUGUGAGCCAGAGGCAGAAAGAUGGUUGUGAGUUUAAGGUCAGGUGACUGUGGGUGACAUAGUCCAGGGACCACGGGGCUGUGGUGUUAGACCUUCCUCUCAAAAAACACAAAAAAGUUCAGUUCCACAGCACAACUACUAAAGCAACAUAAAAGAGAGUAGCUUGGCCCUGUGUAACAAAGGGUUUUACCAUCUUUUUCUAUUGUAGUCUAACCAGUAAGAAACUGUAAGCCAGGGAGACAGCUCAUCAGGCAAAACUGCUUACCACAAACCUGACUGCCUGGGUGUGAUCCCUGGAACUGACCCUCGAGGAGUGUCCUCUGCCUUCCUCACUUGUACUUUAGCACCCACAUGUCUGCACUCAUUCACACGUCUCUCACACACACACACACACACACACAACAAUAAAUAAUAAUAAUAAUAAUAAUAAUAAUAAUAAUAAUAGUAAAUUCAAUCUUAAUUCCAGAGCAUAGAUCUCUUGUAUGAUACUAAAUGUAUUAACGUACUCUUCCGUUUCUUUUUUCUUUUUUUCUUUCUUAAAACUUGGUUGGGGGCUGGAGAGAUAUAGCUCAGCAGUUAGAGCACUGGUUGCUCUUCCAGAGCACCCACAUUCCACUCCCAGCCCCCACAUGGCAGAUCAUAGCCAUCUAUAACUCCAGUUCUAACCCUGACCUCCCCGGGCCCCAGACGUGAACAUGGUACACAGAUAUGCAUGCAGAAAAAAUAAACAUAUGCAUGAGAUAAAUGAAUCUUUUAAAAAUAUAAGUUGGGACUCUAAAGUUCCUUUCAAACUUGGCAUGGGUAAUCAGAAGCCCCUCAAUUCACCUACAAAUCUCAGUUCCAUUCAAGCUGUGGCCUUCAGCCUUUCUCUCACCUAGGGGAGGACAGAUGGAUGUUACCUGAAAUAUCUUUUUUUUUUUUUUUUUUUUCCCCGAGACAGGGUUUUUCUGUAUAGCCCUGGCUGUCCUGGAACUCACUCUGUAGACCAGGCUGGCCUCGAACUCAGAAAUCGGCCUGCCUCUGUCUCCCAAGUGCUGGGAUUAAAGGCGUGCGCCACCACUGCCUGGCCUGAAAUAUCUUUUUAAUGAAUUAUAUCUCCUUGUCCUUUUGCCUUGAUUUUAUCAAAAUGACGUGCACGAAUUCAACUACUACUGACUAUUCAGGUACGGAUCUCUACACUUUUGCCAAAGGAUUGUUUGGGUAAUUUUAAUUCUUUCUUACUUCUUGUGUGUGGUGUGUGUGGUUGUUGCUUGUUUUUUUUUCUCUCUUUCUUUUUCCUUUUUAAAACGCAGUCUUGCUAUGUAGUGCCCGUUAGCCUGCUAUGUACUACACAGCCCAUAACUCUUGGCGAUCCUCCUGCAUCAGCAAGUUUCAUGGGCUGAUGUCACCAUGCCCAGCUUCAACUGUUAGGGUUUGUCUGGUACGUCUCUGGAGUCCCUGGGCUGCAUUUCGUAAGCUCUGCACCGAGGAGAAAGACGCUGAAGCCUGCCGUCUGCCGCACAGACUUUGCCUUCUCCAGUUAAAAGGUAACAGUGCUGCUGUGGGUGGGGCUCUGCGUGCCGCUGUGGGACGCCUUGUGCGGCAGCUGAGUGGCUGUGGCUCAUAUUCUAACCCCGAUGAAGACUCUGGGAAGCAGCCAUAUUGGUGAAGAGCUGUGGCUCAAGGCUGCAGAGAGCAGCUGAACAAGGGCAGCUUAAGGUCUUGCUGACUCCUGUGUGGCUCAGAGGGUGACCUGUCAUUCUUAUAAAUAAUCUGAAGGAGAACAAGGCCAACUGUCUCCGUGUGACACUUGAUCCCACAUUUAUCCUUUCAGGCUGCCAAACUGAAAGACCUUAUGGUGAUUAAAUAUUUCUGGCCAGCAAUGCCCUGCCAUUUUAUUGAAAAAUGAUAGCCUGAUAUCUUCUAUAAUUUUUUUUUUUUUCUGUUGAGACAAGGUCUCAUGCAGUCCAGGCCAGCCUUGAAUUCACUGUGUAGCCAAGGUCGACCUUCAGUUUCUGAUCCCCCUGCCUCUGCCUUCUAAGUACCAAAACUAAAGGUGUGCCCAGAUUGUCAUGCCAUGGCUUUGUGCAUGCUAGGUGAGUGCUCUAACUGAAUCACAUCUCUAGCUCUGUAUCUGUUUCCAUAAAAACAAAUGUUCUGCACUAGCAUUAGCUGUGGUGGACAAGCUGCCCCAAGUCACCGUAGUUCAUUGGUAAUGCAUUGCGGACGGGCAAUGAAAUGGCUCAGGCGUUAAGAACACUGACUGCUCCUGAGUUCAAAUCCCAGCAACCACAUAGUGGCUCACAACUAUCCAAUGAGAUCUGACGCCCUCUUCUGGUGCGUCUGAAGACAGCUACAGUGUACUUACAUAUAAUAAUAAAUCUUAAAAAAAAAAGAACACAGUAAAAAACAAAACACACACACACACACACACACACACACAGAGAAUGCAUUGCAGAGGGAAUGCAUCCCUUUACAUUGGAUGGACAAGGCUCUGCCUCAUGGGGGUGGGGUGGGAGUGGGGAUGGGGACUGACUGAAUGCCAAACAGUAAUAAAUCAAACAAAUGACAAACCACACACACACACACACACACACACACACACACACACACUACCCCCCAAAAGAAAACCAAAAUUAAAUGAAAUAAACAACAGGACAGGUGAGAUAGGUCAGUUGGUAAAAGUGCUUGCUGCUGGAACCCCAUCGGAGAGGGCAAGAACCCAUUCCUAAAGGUUGUCGUCUGGAUUCUCUGUGCAGAUCACUACAGAACACACUUUGUCUGCGCCUCAGUCUCUUCUGAAGCACACAGAAUAAUAUCACUCUACAAGAGAAAUGGUGGUUAUCACUUUAUUUGGCAGGGGUGGGAGGUGGGCAGCAAGCUACUGUAACCCGGGUUUGGGAAAUCUCCUCUCAAAGGACAGAGGACAUUUUGUGGUAAGAGAAGUACGCUAGCUCACGGAAGUCUGGGUGUGAAAAGUUCUUUGUAUUUUCUAAGGUUUUUAGAGCAGAACUGGAGAUAGUUAUGCAGAGAUUUUAAUGCAGACCUGAAGUCCUAGGGGUAAGAGAAAGGAGAAUGCACAGGAAGAAGGGAAAGAGCAACCAAGAACCAAGGUGUGGGCUUCUCAAACCUUGCCUUCCUCCAGGGCAGAGAAAGCCCAGAUCAGGGCCAUGUAUCUGCAAAGGCCCGUAGGCAAACCUGUGGGGUAUUUUCUUGAUUGAUGUGGAAGGGCCCAGCACAUGGUAGUGGUUCUGAGUUCUAUGAGAAAGCAGGUUUCAGGAGAAGAAAAAUAAAAACUGCACACAGGGAAACAUUCCCUGGCUAGGGAACUGAUAGAAAAUGGUGUGAGUUAUUUGUGUGUACUUUUUUAGUUGAAUUUUUAUCUCAUUUAUGUGUACGUAUGUCUGUGUGUCCGCCACUUGUAUUUGGAAGCUCACGUAGGUCAGAGAAGGCAUCAGAGCUCCUGAAGCUGGGGUUGUAGGCAAUUCCACGCAGCCCAGUGUCAUUGCUGAAACCUGAACUUGGCUCCUCCAGAAGAGCAGCCUGUGCUCUUAACUGCUGGGCUUAUCUCUCCAGUCCCCAUUUGUUUAUAUUUUGAUAUUACUUAUUUAUUCAUUUAUUUAUUUAUUUUUCUUUUUUCGAGACAGGGUUUCUCUGUAUAGCCAUGGCUGUCCUGGAACUNNNNNNNNNNNNNNNNNNNNNNNNNNNNNNN